CACUGCCGAGAAAAGCCUCUAGAUAGAAAAUAGGUGCCCGUACCGCAAACCGACACAGGUAGUCAAGAUGAGAAUUCUAAGGUGAGCGAGCGAACUCUCGUUAAGGAACUCGGCAAAAUGACCCCGUAACUUCGGGAGAAGGGGUGCUCUUUAGGGUUAACGCCCAGAAGAGCCGCAGUGAAUAGGCCCAAGCGACUGUUUAUCAAAAACACAGGUCUCUGCUAAACCGUAAGGUGAUGUAUAGGGGCUGACGCCUGCCCGGUGCUGGAAGGUUAAGAGGAGUGGUUAGCUUCUGCGAAGCUACGAAUCGAAGCCCCAGUAAACGGCGGCCGUAACUAUAACGGUCCUAAGGUAGCGAAAUUCCUUGUCGGGUAAGUUCCGACCCGCACGAAAGGCGUAACGAUUUGGGCACUGUCUCAACGAGAGACUCGGUGAAAUCAUAGUACCUGUGAAGAUGCAGGUUACCCGCGACAGGACGGAAAGACCCCGUGGAGCUUUACUGUAGCCUGAUAUUGAAAUUCGGCACAGCUUGUACAGGAUAGGUAGGAG
Molecule: ribosomal RNA, 549 nt
Filed under: Staphylococcus aureus
Lineage: Bacteria; Bacillati; Bacillota; Bacilli; Caryophanales; Staphylococcaceae
Description: partial 23S ribosomal RNA
Rfam family: Bacterial large subunit ribosomal RNA
Source: RNAcentral